This 433-nucleotide ribosomal RNA is filed under the name uncultured bacterium. Its description in RNAcentral is "partial 16S ribosomal RNA". It matches the Rfam family "Bacterial small subunit ribosomal RNA", at positions 29 to 507 of the family's 1533-position model. The record is from RNAcentral.
AACGAACGCUGGCGGCAUGCCUAACACAUGCAAGUCGAACGAGACCUUCGGGUCUAGUGGCGCACGGGUGCGUAACGCGUGGGAACCUGCCCUUAGGUUCGGAAUAACUCCCCGAAAGGGGUGCUAAUACCGGAUAAUGUCUUCGGACCAAAGAUUUAUCGCCCUUGGAUGGGCCCGCGUUGGAUUAGCUAGUUGGUAGGGUAAAAGCCUACCAAGGCGACGAUCCAUAGCUGGUCUGAGAGGAUGAUCAGCCACACUGGGACUGGGACACGGCCCAGACUCUUACGGGAGGAAGCAGUGGGGAAUAUUGGAAAAUGGGCGAAGGCCUGAUGCAGCAAGGCCGCGUAAGUGAUGAAGGCAUGGGGGUUGUAAAGCUCUUUUACCCGGGAAGAUAAUGACAGUACCGGGAGAAUAAGCUCCGGCUAACUCCGUG